This 59-nucleotide transfer RNA is filed under the name Bacillus anthracis (anthrax bacterium). RNAcentral's name for it is "tRNA-Ile". It matches the Rfam family "tRNA", at positions 9 to 63 of the family's 71-position model. From Rfam's summary of the family: Transfer RNA (tRNA) molecules are approximately 80 nucleotides in length. Their secondary structure includes four short double-helical elements and three loops (D, anti-codon, and T loops). The record is from RNAcentral. Lineage: Bacteria; Bacillati; Bacillota; Bacilli; Caryophanales; Bacillaceae.
AGCUCAGCUGGUUAGAGCAGACGGCUCAUAACCGUCCGGUCGUAGGUUCGAGUCCUACA